UACAGAGGUCCCAAGCGUUGUUCGGAUUCACUGGGCGUAAAGGGUGCGUAGGCGGUCGGGUAAGUCUGAUGUGAAAUCUCCAAGCCUAACUUGGAAACUGCAUUGGAUACUAUCCGGCUCGAGGAAUGGAGGGGAGACUGGAAUACUUGGUGUAGCAGUGAAAUGCGUAGAUAUCAAGUGGAACACCAGUGGCGAAGGCGGCUCUCUGGAACGCAACUGACGCUGAGACGCGAAAGCGUGGGGAGCAAACAGG
RNAcentral lists this ribosomal RNA (253 nucleotides) under uncultured bacterium. RNAcentral describes it as "partial 16S ribosomal RNA". It matches the Rfam family "Bacterial small subunit ribosomal RNA", at positions 524 to 776 of the family's 1533-position model. The record is from RNAcentral.